CCUACGGGUGGCUGCAGUGGGGGAUAUUGCACAAUGGUGGGAACCCUGAUGCAGCGACGCCGCGUGAGCGAAGAAGUACCUCGGUAUGUAAAGCUCUAUCAGCAGGGAAGAAAAUGACGGUACCUGACUAAGAAGCCCCGGCUCAGUACGUACCACGAGCCGCGGUAAUACGUAUGGGGCAAGCGUAAUCCGGAUUUACUGGGUGUAAAGGGGGCGCAGGCGGCCUGCCAAGUCUGGUGUGAAACCCCGGGGCCCAACCCCGGGCCUGCAUUGGAAACUGGCGGGCUGGAGUGUGGGAGGGGCAGGCGGAAUGCGCGGUGUAGCGGUGAAAUGCGUAGAUAUUAGGAGGAACACCGGUGGCGAAGGCGGCAUGCUGGAC
Molecule: ribosomal RNA, 379 nt
Filed under: uncultured bacterium
Lineage: Bacteria
Description: partial 16S ribosomal RNA
Rfam family: Bacterial small subunit ribosomal RNA
Source: RNAcentral